UACGAAGGGGGCUAGCGUUGUUCGGAAUUACUGGGCGUAAAGCGCGCGCAGGCGGAUCAUCAAGUCAGAGGUGAAAGCCCAGAGCUCAACUCUGGAACUGCCUUUGAAACUGGUGAUCUUGAGUACGGGAGAGGUGAGUGGAAUUCCCAGUGUAGAGGUGAAAUUCGUAGAUAUUGGGAAGAACACCGGUGGCGAAGGCGGCUCACUGGCCCGUAACUGACGCUCAGGCGCGAUAGCGUGGGGAUCAAACAGG
Molecule: ribosomal RNA, 253 nt
Filed under: uncultured bacterium
Lineage: Bacteria
Description: partial 16S ribosomal RNA
Rfam family: Bacterial small subunit ribosomal RNA
Source: RNAcentral